GACGAACGCUGGCGGCGUGCCUAAUACAUGCAAGUCGAACGGUUUAGUUCCAAGAGGCUUGCCUUUUGGAACUAGACAGUGGCGGACGGGUGAGUAACACGUAGGCAACCUACCUGUCAAACCGGGAUAACCUCGGGAAACCGAAGCUAAACCCGGCUAAGCUCCUUUUUCGCAUGAAGGUGGAGUGAAAAGGUGCGACCUGAUGACAGAUUGGCCUGCGGCGCAUUAGCUAGUAGGUAGGGUAACGGCCUACCUAAGCGAUGAUGCGUAGCCGACCUGAGAGGGCGUACGGCCACACUGGGACUGGGAUACGGCCCAGACUCCUACGGGAGGGAGCAGUAGGGAAGCUGCGGCAAUGGGCGAAAGCCUGACCGAGCAACGCCGCGUGAGUGAGGAAGGCCUUCGGGUUGUAAAACUCUGUUGUUUGGGAAGAAGGGAAAGGGUAGGACCCUUAGGUGACGGUACCAAACGAGAAAGCCCCGGCUAACUACGUG
RNAcentral lists this ribosomal RNA (494 nucleotides) under uncultured bacterium. RNAcentral describes it as "partial 16S ribosomal RNA". It matches the Rfam family "Bacterial small subunit ribosomal RNA", at positions 28 to 507 of the family's 1533-position model. The record is from RNAcentral.